AGUUUAAUUUUCAUCAUGGCUGAGCGCUACAUCAGUUUUCUGUUCCAGCUGCUCUUCUGUCUUGUGUUUUCUUUACCCAUUGGUAGAAACUCUGUAUGCGGUUAUAAGGCACUUCCAGCCACAAAUCCUUCCAUGCUGAAUGUCCAUCUGCUUCCUCACACACAUGAUGAUAUUGGCUGGCUCAAGACUGUGGAUCAGUACUACCAAAGUCUGGAACAAGAACAUGGAUAAGCUGAUCAAGUAUGUAAAUGCCCUGCAAGCUAAAGGAAGCAAGGUGAAUGUGGUUUACUCUACACCGUCCUGCUACCUACAGGAACUCAACCUAGCCAACCUCACCUGGCCUCUGAAGACAGAUGAUUUUUUCCCCUAUGCUGAUGAUGCUCAUGAUUUCUGGACAGAUUAUUUUACCAGCCGACCAGCAUUGAAGUUAUACGAGAGACUGAGCAACAGCUGACUACAGACAUGCAACUAGUUGGAGGUGCUUGGUGGGCUCAAGUCCACAUCUGGACCCUUUGGUGAAGGGGACAGUG
This is a long non-coding RNA of Carassius carassius (crucian carp), 530 nucleotides long. RefSeq lists it as uncharacterized. Lineage: Eukaryota; Metazoa; Chordata; Actinopteri; Cypriniformes; Cyprinidae. The transcript is spliced from 4 exons. The record is from RefSeq and is a predicted model, not a curated record.